Molecule: ribosomal RNA, 497 nt
Filed under: uncultured bacterium
Lineage: Bacteria
Description: partial 16S ribosomal RNA
Rfam family: Bacterial small subunit ribosomal RNA
Source: RNAcentral
GAUGAACGCUGGCGGCGUGCCUAAUACAUGCAAGUCGAGCGAACAGAUCAGGAGCUUGCUCCUUUGACGUUAGCGGCGGACGGGUGAGUAACACGUGGGUAACCUACCUCUAAGACUGGGAUAACUUCGGGAAACCGGAGCUAAUAUCGGAUAAUAUUUCGAACCGCAUGGUUCGAUAGUGAAAGAUGGUUUUUCUAUCACUUAUAGAUGGACCCGCGCCGUAUUAGCUAGUUGGUAAGGUAACGGCUUACCAAGGCGACGAUACGUAGCCGACCUGAGAGGGUGAUCGGCCACACGGGAACUGAGACACGGUCCAGACUCCUACGGGAGGCAGCAGUAGGGAAUCUUCCGCAAUGGGCGAAAGCCUGACGGAGCAACGCCGCGGGAGUGAUGAAGGUCUUCGGAUCGUAAAACUCUGUUAGUAGGGAAGAACAUACGUGUAAGUAACUGUGCACGUCUUGACGGUACCUAAUCAGAAAGCCACGGCUAACUACGUG